This 431-nucleotide RNase P RNA is filed under the name Bacillota bacterium. Its description in RNAcentral is "Firmicutes bacterium (anaerobic digester metagenome) RNase P RNA component class A". It matches the Rfam family "Bacterial RNase P class A". Rfam says of the family: Ribonuclease P (RNase P) is a ubiquitous endoribonuclease, found in archaea, bacteria and eukarya as well as chloroplasts and mitochondria. Its best characterised activity is the generation of mature 5'-ends of tRNAs by cleaving the 5'-leader elements of precursor-tRNAs. Lineage: Bacteria; Bacillati; Bacillota. The record is from RNAcentral. RNAcentral also lists the same sequence under 1 other name.
CGAGUAAGCAAGGCAGCUGCGGGAACAUGACCGCGAGGCGGUUCUCGAGGAAAGUCCGAGCUCCGUAGGGCAGGGUGCUGGGUAACGCCCAGUGGGGGUGACCCUAAGGCUAGUGCCACAGAAAAUAUACCGCCGCGCACCCGGCGGGGGAGAAGCCGCCAGCUUGCGAGAGUAGGCAAUCUUAAAGGCAGGCUGUAGGGAAUGCUUUUUCGCCGCCGGGUGCGCGGCAAGGGUGCAACGGUGCGGUAAGAGCGCACCAGGAGCCGGGAGACCGGCUUGCUAGGUAAACCCCACCCGGAGCAAGACCAAAUAGGAGGGGGAUGAGGUUGCCCGCUGACUCCUCGGGUUUGGUCGCUGGAGGCGCCAGGCAACUGGCGUCCAAGAUAGAUGGUUGCCUAAAACAGAACUCGGCUUACCAGUUUGCUCGGGUC